GCAGAGCAUCCUACGGGAGGCAGCAGUGGGGAAUAUUGCACAAUGGGCGCAAGCCUGAUGCAGCCAUGCCGCGUGUAUGAAGAAGGCCUUCGGGUUGUAAAGUACUUUCAGCAGUGAGGAAGGUGGGUAUGUUAAUAGCAUAUUCAUUUGACGUUAGCUGCAGAAGAAGCACCGGCUAACUCCGUGCCAGCAGCCGCGGUAAUACGGAGGGUGCGAGCGUUAAUCGGAAUUACUGGGCGUAAAGCGCAUGCAGGUGGUUUGUUAAGUCAGAUGUGAAAGCCCGGGGCUCAACCUCGGAAUUGCAUUUGAAACUGGCAAACUAGAGUACUGUAGAGGGGGUAGAAUUUCAGGUGUAGCGGUGAAAUGCGUAGAGAUCUGAAGGAAUACCGGUGGCGAAGGCGGCCCCCUGGACAGAUACUGACACUCAGAUGCGAAAGCGUGGGGAGCAAACAGGAUUAGAUACCCUGGCAG
This 471-nucleotide ribosomal RNA is filed under the name uncultured bacterium. RNAcentral describes it as "bacterial SSU rRNA". It matches the Rfam family "Bacterial small subunit ribosomal RNA", at positions 329 to 793 of the family's 1533-position model. The record is from RNAcentral.